UAAUUGAUGUUUAGAGAGAAAACUACUUCAUAGCCCAUAUAUGUAUUGAAAGUGAAAAGUGAAAGUGAAAUUGCUCAGUCGUGUCCGACUCUUUGCAACCCCAUGGACUGUAGCCUACCAGGCUCCUCAGUCCAUGGAAUUUUCCAGGCAAGAGUACUGGAAUGGGUUGCCAUUUCCUUCUCCAGGGGAUCUUCCCAACCCAGGGAUCAACCUGGGUCUCCCGCACUGCAGGCAGAUGCUUUACCGUCUAAGCCACCAAGGAAGCUAAAUCUAUAUUCAAAGGUCACAGAAUGUUAAUCUUCAUCAGUGGAACAGAUACUUGUUUAGGUGAGUUGGAUCCAGAUUAAGGUAGGUAGCCUCCUUAGGAUAUGUUAUACGCGGCAUGGAAUUCUCAUAUCAUCAUUUGGGAACUGAUACUUUCUUGUUCCUACAGCUUUUACUCAGAGCACAUGUUGCUGCUAAGGAACCAAAACCUCAAUAG
This 481-nucleotide transfer RNA is filed under the name Bos indicus x Bos taurus (hybrid cattle). RNAcentral describes it as "lncRNA (ENSBIXG00005006601.1)". The record is from RNAcentral. Lineage: Eukaryota; Metazoa; Chordata; Mammalia; Artiodactyla; Bovidae.